Rhinopithecus bieti (black snub-nosed monkey) is the source of this 100-nucleotide small nuclear RNA. The record is from Ensembl. NCBI's taxonomy places the organism in Eukaryota, Metazoa, Chordata, Mammalia, Primates, Cercopithecidae.
UUGCUUUGGUAGCACAUACACUAAAACUGGAACAAUAAAGACGUGAAUAUGUCCCCUGUGCAAGGAUGACAUGCAAAUUUGUGAAAUGUCUCACUUUUUU